GAGGCAGACGCAGCUACCCUUUCCUGGAGUUGCUGUUUAGUUGCUCUUUCGCUUCUGAUCUUUGCAGCCCCGUGGACUGUAACCCUCCAGGUUCCUCAGUCCAUACGAUUUCCCAGGCAAGAAUAUUGGGCAGUAUUCCCAAUAGCCAAGACGUGGAGACGACCUGGAUGUCCAUCGACAGGUCUUCAGGAACCAAGGCCCGCAUCCUGCUGGAGACUGGAAGGACGAUGCUGACUUCUUCUGACUUUAAACUACUAAAGCUUGGAUUCUGUGGACCCUUGCCCUAAUUCUAUGUUGAAUUCUCCUCUGCACCAGCCCCUUCAUGAAUGUGCAUACACCAUCGAAGCCCCUCCAUGAAUAUUCGUGAAUCCUUAGCUUAAAACUUCCCAACUUUGCUGUUUAGAGAGACACGGCUUUGGAGAAGAUCCCCAGUGUGCUCCUUACUUGCUACAAAUAUGAUA
Long non-coding RNA from Bos taurus (domestic cattle), 461 nucleotides. The record is from Ensembl. Lineage: Eukaryota; Metazoa; Chordata; Mammalia; Artiodactyla; Bovidae.